RNAcentral lists this ribosomal RNA (478 nucleotides) under uncultured bacterium. Its description in RNAcentral is "partial 16S ribosomal RNA". It matches the Rfam family "Bacterial small subunit ribosomal RNA", at positions 28 to 523 of the family's 1533-position model. The record is from RNAcentral.
GACGAACGCUGGCGGCGUGCUUAACACAUGCAAGUCGAACGGUAAGGCCCUUCGGGGUACACGAGUGGCGAACGGGUGAGUAACACGUGGGUGAUCUGCCCUGCACUUCGGGAUAAGCCUGGGAAACUGGGUCUAAUACCGGAUAGGACCACUGCCUGCAUGGGUGGUGGUGGAAAGCUUUUGCGGUGUGGGAGGGGCCCGCGGCCUAUCAGCUUGGUGGUGGGGUGAUGGCCUACCAAGGCGACGACGGGUAGCCGGCCUGGGAGGGUGACCGGCCACAGUGGGAAUGAGAUACGGCACAGACUCCUACGGGAGGCAGCAGUGGGGAAUAUUGCACAAUGGGCGCAAGCCUGAUGCAGCGACGCCGCGUGAGGGAUGACGGCCUUCGGGUUGUAAACCUCUUUCAGCACCGACGAAGCGCAAGUGACGGUAGGUGCAGAAGAAGGACCGGCCAACUACGUGCCAGCCGCCGCCGUAA